AUUGAACGCUGGCGGCAGGCCUAACACAUGCAAGUCGAGCGAGCGGCGGACGGGUGAGUAAUGUCUGGGAAACUGCCUGAUGGAGGGGGAUAACUACUGGAAACGGUAGCUAAUACCGCAUACCAUCAGAUGUGCCCAGAUGGGAUUAGCUAGUAGGUGGGGUAAUGGCUCACCUAGGCGACGAUCCCUAGCUGGUCUGAGAGGAUGACCAGCCAAACUGGAACUGAGACACGGUCCCGACUCCUACGGGAGGGAGCAGGGGGGGAUAUUGCACAAUGGGCGGAAGCCGUAUACAGCCAUGCCGCGUGUGUGAAGAAGGCCUUCGGGGUGUAAAGCACUUUCAGCGGGGAGGGGUUACCCGCAGGAGAAGCACCGGCUAACUCCGUGCCAGGAGCCGCGGUAAUUC
RNAcentral lists this ribosomal RNA (406 nucleotides) under uncultured bacterium. RNAcentral's name for it is "partial 16S ribosomal RNA". It matches the Rfam family "Bacterial small subunit ribosomal RNA", at positions 29 to 526 of the family's 1533-position model. The record is from RNAcentral.